GACGAACGCUGGCGGCGGGCUUAACACAUGCAAGUCGAACGGAAAGGCCCUGCUUUUGUGGGGUGCUCGAGUGGCGAACGGGGGAGUAACACGUGAGUAACCUGCCCUUGACUUUGGGAUAACUUCAGGAAACUGGGGCUAAUACCGGAUAGGAGCUCCUGCUGCAUGGUGGGGGUUGGAAAGUUUCGGCGGUUGGGGAUGGACUCGCGGCUUAUCAGCUUGUUGGUGGGGUAGGGGAUUACCAAGGCUUUGACGGGUAGCCGGCCGGGGAGGGUGGCCGGCCACAUUGGUCCUGAGGUACGGCGCAGUGUCCUACGUUAGGCAGCAGUGGGGAGUCUUGCACAAUGGGCGCAAGCCUGAUGCAGCAACGCCGCGUUCGGGAUGCCGUCCUUCGGGUUGUAAACCGCUUUCGCCUGUUACGAAGCGUGUGUGACGGUAAUGGGUAAAGAAGCACCGGCUAACUACGUG
Molecule: ribosomal RNA, 468 nt
Filed under: uncultured bacterium
Lineage: Bacteria
Description: partial 16S ribosomal RNA
Rfam family: Bacterial small subunit ribosomal RNA
Source: RNAcentral